RNAcentral lists this non-coding RNA (81 nucleotides) under Streptomyces sp. Its description in RNAcentral is "Fluoride sequence". It matches the Rfam family "Fluoride riboswitch aptamer (crcB RNA motif)". Lineage: Bacteria; Bacillati; Actinomycetota; Actinomycetes; Kitasatosporales; Streptomycetaceae. The record is from RNAcentral.
CUCGGACUCGGCGAUGGAUCCCGCCUGGGCCGUUCUCCGGCCCGAACCGCCCUCCUCCGGGCUGAUGGUUCCUGACCGACG